GAUGAAGAACGCAGCGAAAUGCGAUACGUAAUGUGAAUUGCAGAAUUCAGUGAAUCAUCGAAUCUUUGAACGCACCUUGCGCCCUUUGGCUAUUCCGAAGGGCAUGCCUGUUUGAGUAUCAUGAACACCUCAACUCUCAUGGCUUGCCAUGAUGAGCUUGGACUUUUGGGGGUCUUGCUGGCCUGUGGUCAGCUCCUCUCAAAUGAAUUAGCCUGCCAGUGUUUGGUGGCAUCACAGGUGUGAUAACUAUCUACGCUUGUGGUUUUCCACCAGGUAACCUUCAGUGAUGAAGGUUCGCUGGGGCUCAUAAACGUCUCUCCUCAGUGAGGACAGCUCUUUGAACGUUUGAUCUCAAAUCAGGUAGGACUACCCGCUGAACUUAAGCAUAUCAAUAAGCGGAGGA
This 403-nucleotide unclassified non-coding RNA is filed under the name soil metagenome. RNAcentral's name for it is "partial contains 5.8S ribosomal RNA, internal transcribed spacer 2, and large subunit ribosomal RNA". The stretch from base 1 to 121 matches the Rfam family "5.8S ribosomal RNA", at positions 35 to 154 of the family's 154-position model. The record is from RNAcentral.